RNAcentral lists this ribosomal RNA (504 nucleotides) under uncultured bacterium. RNAcentral describes it as "partial 16S ribosomal RNA". It matches the Rfam family "Bacterial small subunit ribosomal RNA", at positions 28 to 523 of the family's 1533-position model. The record is from RNAcentral.
GAUAAACGCUAGCGGCAGGCUUAACACAUGCAAGUCGAGGGGCAGCAUAGAUUGUAGCAAUACAAUUGGUGGCGACCGGCGCACGGGUGCGUAACGCGUAUGCAACCUACCCGUCACAGGGGGAUAAUCCGGAGAAAUCUGGUCUAAUACCCCAUAACAUAUGGAUCGGCAUCGGUUCAUGUUGAAAUUUUCGGAGGUGACGGAUGGGCAUGCGUAGCAUUAGCUUGUUGGUGAGGUAACGGCUCACCAAGGCGACGAUGCUUAGGGGGACUGAGAGGUGUUCCCCCCACACUGGUACUGAGACACGGACCAGAAUCCUACGGGAGGCAGCAGUGAGGAAUAUUGGCCAAUGGUCGCAAGCCUGAACCAGCCAUGCCGCGUGCAGGAUGACGGCUCUAUGAGUUGUAAACUGCUUUUGUACGAGGGUAAAGUGGGUUACGUGUAACCUUUUGAAAGUAUCGUACGAAUAAGGAUCGGCUAACUCCGUGCCAGCCGCCGCCGUAA